AUUUGCCUCAGUAGAGAGUAUGUGCAAAAACAUCCGGAAAUAUAAAUGAAUAAACCCCCUUGAUAUAACUCAAAACUCCAACUGAUCUAUGACCAACCAAAGACAUAAUCAAGAACAUAGACCAGCACAAGAGACAGGGGGUAUAGAAGGAGAGCCACCAGAGAUGUCCAGAGAGGGAAGGCGGUUCGGAAGCUACCGAGAACUCCCAUUAUAAUCGUAACAACGAGAAUGACCAGCACUUCGGAUGAAAAGUUCCAAACCAAUCCUCUCAGGUAAACAAGAGCUAAGAAGACUGAUAGGCAAAGGACAUUGUUCAUUGUCACUGCUCCAUAUAGCUCAGAAAAU
This 345-nucleotide unclassified non-coding RNA is filed under the name Hevea brasiliensis (rubber tree). Lineage: Eukaryota; Viridiplantae; Streptophyta; Magnoliopsida; Malpighiales; Euphorbiaceae. The record is from RNAcentral.